RNAcentral lists this ribosomal RNA (301 nucleotides) under uncultured bacterium. RNAcentral describes it as "partial 16S ribosomal RNA". It matches the Rfam family "Bacterial small subunit ribosomal RNA", at positions 509 to 808 of the family's 1533-position model. The record is from RNAcentral.
CAGUCGCCACGGUAAUACGUAGGGUGCGAGCGUUAAUCGGAAUUACUGGCGUAAAGCGUGCGCAGGCGGUUGUGUAAGACAGGUGUGAAGUCCCCGGGCUUAACCUGGGAACUGCGCUUGUGACUGCACAGCUAGAGUAUGGCAGAGGGGGGUGGAAUUCCACGUGUAGCAGUGAAAUGCGUAGAGAUGUGGAGGAACACCGAUGGCGAAGGCAGCCCCCUGGGCCAAUACUGACGCUCAUGCACGAAAGCGUGGGGAGCAAACAGGAUUAGAUACCCCCGUAGUCCCUGUCUCUUAUACA